This 253-nucleotide ribosomal RNA is filed under the name uncultured bacterium. RNAcentral describes it as "partial 16S ribosomal RNA". It matches the Rfam family "Archaeal small subunit ribosomal RNA", at positions 474 to 727 of the family's 1478-position model. The record is from RNAcentral.
UACCAGCACCCCGAGUGGUCGGGACGAUUAUUGGGCCUAAAGCAUCCGUAGCCGGUUUUACAAGUCCUCCGUUAAAUCCAGCUGCUUAACAGAUGGGCUGCGGAGGAUACUAUAAGACUAGGAGGCAGGAGAGGCAAGCGGUACUCAGUGGGUAGGGGUAAAAUCCGUUGAUCCAUUGAAGACCACCAGUGGCGAAGGCGGCUUGCCAGAAUGCGCUCGACGGUGAGGGAUGAAGGCUGGGGGAGCAAACCGG